GCUGGCGGCAUGCUUAACACAUGCAAGUCGAACGGUAACAGGCCCUUCGGGGCGCUGACGAGUGGCGGACGGGUGAGUAAUACGUAGGAGUCUGCCCAAUAGUGGGGGACAACCCGGGGAAACUCGGGCUAAUACCGCAUACGCCCUACGGGGGAAAGCGGGGGAUCUUCGGACCUCGCGCUACUGGAUGAGCCUACGUCGGAUUAGCUUGUUGGUGGGGUAAGGGCCUACCAAGGCGACGAUCCGUAGCUGGUCUGAGAGGACGAUCAGCCACACUGGGACUGAGACACGGCCCAGACUCCUACGGGAGGCAGCAGUGGGGAAUAUUGGACAAUGGGCGAAAGCCUGAUCCAGCAAUGCCGCGUGUGUGAAGAAGGCCUGCGGGUUGUAAAGCACUUUCAGUUGGGAGGAAAAGCAGUGGGCCAAUACCCCGCUGUCUUGACGUGACCAACAGAAGAAGCACCGGGUAACUCUGUGCCAGCAGCCGCGGUAAUACA
Molecule: ribosomal RNA, 497 nt
Filed under: uncultured Ectothiorhodospiraceae bacterium
Lineage: Bacteria; Pseudomonadati; Pseudomonadota; Gammaproteobacteria; Chromatiales; Ectothiorhodospiraceae
Description: bacterial SSU rRNA
Rfam family: Bacterial small subunit ribosomal RNA
Source: RNAcentral